This 496-nucleotide ribosomal RNA is filed under the name uncultured bacterium. Its description in RNAcentral is "bacterial SSU rRNA". It matches the Rfam family "Bacterial small subunit ribosomal RNA", at positions 32 to 507 of the family's 1533-position model. The record is from RNAcentral.
AACGCUGGCGGCGUGCUUAACACAUGCAAGUCGAACGAGACGAUUGAAAGCUUGCUUUUGAAAGUCGAGUGGCAAACGGGUGAGUAACGCGUAGACAACCUGCCUCUCAGAUGGGGACAACAUCCCGAAAGGGGUGCUAAUACCGAAUGUUGUGCAACUUCCACAUGGAGGAUGCACCAAAGGUGGUUUCGGCCACCGCUUUGCGAUGGGUCUGCGUCUGAUUAGCUAGUUGGUGGGGCAACGGCCUACCAAGGCGACGAUCAGUAGCCGGUCUGAGAGGAUGAACGGCCACAUUGGAACUGAGACACGGUCCAGACUCCUACGGGAGGCAGCAGUGGGGAAUCUUCCGCAAUGGGCGAAAGCCUGACGGAGCAACGCCGCGUGAGUGAAGAAGGUCUUCGGAUCGUAAAGCUCUGUUGUCGGGGACGAAUGUUGAGAUCUAGAAUAUAGAUUUCAAAUGACGGUACCUGACGAGGAAGCCACGGCUAACUACGUG